CUGGCACCUUCGGUGUCCGAGUUGUAAUCUCUAGAAAUGUUUUCCGCGUUGGACCGCACACAAGUCUGUUGGAAUACAGCGGCAUAGUGGUGAGACCCCCGUAUAUGGUGCGGACGCCCAGCGCUUUGUGAUACAUUUUCGAAGAGUCGAGUUGUUUGGGAAUGCAGCUCAAAUUGGGUGGUAAAUUCCAUCUAAAGCUAAAUAUUGGCGAGAGACCGAUAGCGAACAAGUACCGUGAGGGAAAGAUGAAAAGCACUUUGGAAAGAGAGUUAACAGUACGUGAAAUUGUUGGAAGGGAAACGCUUGAAGUCAGACUUGCUUGCCGAGCAAUCGGUUUGCAGGCCAGCAUCAGUUUUCCGGGAUGGAUAAUGGUAGAGAGAAGGUAGCAGUUUCGGCUGUGUUAUAGCUCUCUGCUGGAUACAUCUUGGGGGACUGAGGAACGCA
Molecule: ribosomal RNA, 444 nt
Filed under: Rhodotorula mucilaginosa
Lineage: Eukaryota; Fungi; Basidiomycota; Microbotryomycetes; Sporidiobolales; Sporidiobolaceae
Description: partial large subunit ribosomal RNA
Rfam family: Eukaryotic large subunit ribosomal RNA
Source: RNAcentral